UGCUUUUAAACAAGACGCUCGGAGCCAUACAGAAGAAAAAAUGCAAAUCUGUGCUAAUUGCUAAAGAGAAAAGGAGACGAGGGCCAGUUAAUCAAGAAAGCUGCUUAAAGCAAUGCCAAAAUAACUCCACACCUCCUGACCUGAACAAACUGAGCACGCCACUAUGCAUCUGGCUUUCCACAGAAACUCAGCUGGGCUUUAAGGAUUGCUCUUAAGCCUGACAUGUUUGGCAGCAAUACAACUUAAAUGUGACAACACUCAUUUUAGAGAUCUGCUUGCAUUCAUAUACGGAGGGUGGUGCGGACGGACCAGUACAUCACUGGGGCCGAGCUCCCAGCCAUCGAAGACAUCUAUGCCAGGCGGUGUCUGAGGAAGGCCCCAAAAAUUGGAGAAGGGAAGUCCCACAGGGAGACAUGUCUGAGUUGUCUGAAGAACGCUGCACAUCUCUGGUUUUCCGGCUGACCUCUAUCAAGACACCCAUGUCGACUGGAUUCCUACUGUGAAGAUGAGCAAUGCUGCAUCAGUUCUCAUUCACUAUGUUUUACUCUUUCAGAUAUGAAAGGAGACAUCCCUCAGUUAUACAAGAUGGUUGACAUAUGCUGUGCUUUGGUCAAUCUGAAUGAUUAUGUUGUGCCAUUUGAGUAGAGAGCACUUUCACCUUGUUGUCAUGACAAAAGUACCCCCUUAAAUCAUAUGAAUAUAUAAAAUGUAAUUUGGAAAAACAUGUCAAAUCCUGUUGUUUAUUGUAAACAGACUAUACUUCAGUAAUAGGCUAUGUUGUUGUAUGGGUGAAAUUAAAAGUGU
Molecule: non-coding RNA, 804 nt
Organism: Oncorhynchus mykiss (rainbow trout)
Lineage: Eukaryota; Metazoa; Chordata; Actinopteri; Salmoniformes; Salmonidae
Source: RefSeq, a predicted model, not a curated record